GCCUGGGUGGCUUGGUAGGUUAAGCGUCUGACUUCAGCUCAGGUCAUAAUCUCACGGUCCGUGAGUUCGAGCCCCGCAUCGGGCU
Molecule: transfer RNA, 85 nt
Filed under: Felis catus (domestic cat)
Lineage: Eukaryota; Metazoa; Chordata; Mammalia; Carnivora; Felidae
Rfam family: tRNA
About the family: Transfer RNA (tRNA) molecules are approximately 80 nucleotides in length.
Source: Rfam by way of RNAcentral